RNAcentral lists this ribosomal RNA (496 nucleotides) under uncultured bacterium. Its description in RNAcentral is "partial 16S ribosomal RNA". It matches the Rfam family "Bacterial small subunit ribosomal RNA", at positions 28 to 507 of the family's 1533-position model. The record is from RNAcentral.
GAUGAACGCUGGCGGCGUGCCUAAUACAUGCAAGUCGAGCGAACAGACGAGGAGCUUGCUCCUCUGACGUUAGCGGCGGACGGGUGAGUAACACGUGGAUAACCUACCUAUAAGACUGGGAUAACUUCGGGAAACCGGAGCUAAUACCGGAUAAUAUAUUGAACCGCAUGGUUCAAUAGUGAAAGACGGUUUUCCGUUACUUUUAGAUGGAUCCGCGCCGCAUUAGCUAGUUGGUAAGGUAACGGCUUACCAAGGCAACGAUGCGUAGCCGACCUGAGAGGGUGAUCGGCCACACUGGAACUGAGACACGGUCCAGACUCCUACGGGAGGCAGCAGUAGGGAAUCUUCCGCAAUGGGCGAAAGCCUGACGGAGCAACGCCGCGUGAGUGAUGAAGGUCUUCGGAUCGUAAAACUCUGUUAUUAGGGAAGAACAAAUGUGUAAGUAACUAUGCACGUCUUGACGGUACCUAAUCAGAAAGCCACGGCUAACUACGUG